UGAAACCACAGUGCCUCGGAUUUACGGAGU
RNAcentral lists this small RNA (30 nucleotides) under Bombyx mori (domestic silkworm). RNAcentral's name for it is "ovarian small RNA-30417". The record is from RNAcentral. Lineage: Eukaryota; Metazoa; Arthropoda; Insecta; Lepidoptera; Bombycidae.